UCAAACGAUUAAAAGUUCAAACCAUAUUACUUCGUCUGUCUCUUCGUUUUUAAUUCCGGUGUGAAGAAAAUUAGAAGAACAAUUCCGGUGCGAGUAGCGGCUUAAAGGAUUUUCUUCAUCUCCCACCAAACCUUCAUAGCGAGUAGCGGCUUAAAGGAUUCACUGCAAUCACCGAAGUGCCAACUUUGUCAGUGAUGGAAAUAUGGCGUCAUUUCACUCGGAGAAAUGUUGAAGAACCCUCUUGCAAUUACUGUGGAAGGACUUA
This is a long non-coding RNA of Papaver somniferum (opium poppy), 265 nucleotides long. RefSeq lists it as uncharacterized. The transcript is spliced from 3 exons. The record is from RefSeq and is a predicted model, not a curated record. NCBI's taxonomy places the organism in Eukaryota, Viridiplantae, Streptophyta, Magnoliopsida, Ranunculales, Papaveraceae.